AAGAAGACGACAAAUAAGAAUGGUAUUAAGUUGGUAGAAUGGAACUCCUUCCUGAUUCCUGCACAUGUAAGUUACCAGAUACUCUUGAGGGACCAAUUUAAGGGCAAACAGACAAACGUUUUGAUGCAAAGAAAGCAUUGGAUUUGAAAGUUCCCAUGGAGAAGAAAAAUGGAGAGAUUCUAAAAGUAUGAAGAUACUCCUGUGUAUAAUGAGGAAAUCUUGUCAGUGAAUGUUGUUGCAAUUGUGGACCAGGCCAGAGUUGUACUAAACCAACUAAGACACAAUGAGAUACAGGAAUGACACAAUGAGAAACAGGAAACAGGAAAGUGAUGACUGAUCGCCACCUGUUACAAAUUCAUCUAGAAAACUCCCCACAUCCAACAAGAGACAGUCUGACUUCAAAAUCUUCAUUGAAAGCAACUUAAUGGACAAGACAUCCGUCACAUAAAGAUUCACUAAAAUUGGAAUGAUAUACCAAUUUUAACUUUUAACAGACAAAUACAUUAUAGAUUUGAAAAUAGAUUACCCUUAAAUAAGUUGGAUGAUUAACAUUUACCUCAACACAGUACAAAGUGCUCAUGUUGAACUAUUGUGAUUGAUCAUAGUCUGUCCUUCAUUUUUAUUAACAGUUUCAUACAGUGUUAACACUUUAGUAUGGGGACUCAUUUUAGCUCAACUUUUCGAAGAAUAUGGAGAGCUAUACUACUCACCCAAGCGUCGGCGUUGGCGUCACCCCUUGGUUAAGGGUUUGCGUGCAAGCACACAUAGGUAAAUAUCUCAGCAACUACUUGAGGUAUUGCAUUGAGACUUUAUACAAUGGUACUCAACCAUCCAACCUACUUAAUUAACCAAGUUUGAUAACUACUUUGCAUUUAAUGCCAAUAAUAGGCCUUUAAUAUUUGACUUAGAAAUUCUGGUUAAGGUUUUGCAUGCAAGCACACAUAGGUUAAUAUCUCAGCAACUACUUGAGGUAUUACAUUGAGACUUGAUACAAUGGUACUCAACCAUCCAACCUACUUAUUUAAACAAGUAAGAUAACUCUAGUUUGCAUUUAAUGUAAAUAAUAGGCCUUUAUUAUUUGACUUAGAAAUUCUGGUUAAGGUUUUGCAUGCAAGCACACAUAGGUUAAUAUCUCAGCAACUGCUUGAGGUAUUGCAUUGAGACUUGAUACAAUGGUACUCAACCAUCCAACCUACUUAUUUAAACAAGUAAGAUAACUCUAGUUUGCAUUUAAUGUAAAUAAUAGGCCUUUAUUAUUUGACUUAGAAAUUCUGGUUAAGGUUUUGCAUGCAAGCACACAUAGGUUAAUAUCUCAGCAACUGCUUGAGGUAUUGCAUUGAGACUUGAUACAAUGGUACUCAACCAUCCAACCUACUUAAUUUUCCAAGUUAUAUAACUAUAGUUUGCAUUUAAUGCAAAUACUUCCCUUUAUUAUUUCACUCAGAAAUUCUGGUUAAGGUUUUGCAUAUAAGCACACAUAGGUUAAUAUCUCAGCAACUACUGUAUAAAUUGCAUUGAGACUUUAUACAACCACCCAACCUAAUUGAAUAAUCAAGUUAGAUAAAAAUUCUGGUUAAAAUUUUGCAUGUAACCACAUUUAUGUUAAUAUCUCCGCACAUCAUGUAUUGCAUUGAAAUCUAAUCUAACAGUGAUCCAUGCAUGUUUCGCCAAAACUUUUCAAUCCUUACACUGAAAAGCAGCGGAAUAGUCGAGAGCGCUGUCUCUGUGACAGCUCUUGUCUCUUUGGUCUUUAUUCAUACUGGCCAGAAUAUGUUUACCAAAAAAAUCUUAGUAGAGAUUGAUAACUGUUCAGGUUGGACAAAAAGCAUGUAGGUUGUUUGUUCUAAUAAUAUAAACUGUAAAUGCUUCAGAAACUAUAUAUAUAAUUUUUCAUGAUAUUUGUCAGUAUUUAUUCUCGUCAACAUUUAAAUAAUAUUAGGUGAAACUUGUUUAAUGGUCAAAAUGUGUUUGAUUAGAGUGGCCUCAAGUUCCACUUUAUAUGAAUGAAAUUUGGUCAAGUUUUAGAAAAAAACUAUGUUCUAGUUUUAUAGGCCAUAUUCUCUUCCCAAGCUUUCCUUAAAGAAUGAAUGUAGGUAAUAUGAAACAGGAGUCACUAAGUCAAGUAUUAAAAACCUUAAAAAUUGCUAUUCAUAGAGGUAUUGUUUCCUCAUCAUAAAUCACAACUUAGCCAGCAAGACUUUUCAACAAAUAAGGCAUAACAUGUAAAAAGUUAAUAAUUAGGCACAUAUUUUAGUGAAUAAAAUCUUGUGAACAUAUUAUUGAAACAAAUAAUGUGUCUGGUUCUGAGGUGAGCAAUAAAGCACAUUGCUUAGUAACAAUUGAGCUAGCUCAUUAUUAAAAGUUUGUUUUAAACUUGAAUUAAAUGAAUGCAAAUCAUAUAUUAUUAUUUUUAAUCUAUA
Long non-coding RNA from Mya arenaria, 2420 nucleotides. RefSeq lists it as uncharacterized. The record is from RefSeq and is a predicted model, not a curated record. NCBI's taxonomy places the organism in Eukaryota, Metazoa, Mollusca, Bivalvia, Myida, Myidae. The transcript has 5 exons.